CCUACGGGCGGCAGCAGUGGGGAAUAUUGGACAAUGGGGGCAACCCUGAUCCAGCCAUGCCGCGUGUGUGAAGAAGGCCCUCGGGUUGUAAAGCACUUUCAGUGAGGAAGAACGCCUGGUGGUUAAUACCCAUCAGGAAAGACAUCACUAACAGAAGAAGCACCGGCUAACUCCGUGCCAGCAGCCGCGGUAAUACGGAGGGUGCGAGCGUUAAUCGGAAUUACUGGGCGUAAAGCGCGCGUAGGUGGCUUGAUAAGCCGGUUGUGAAAGCCCCGGGCUCAACCUGGGAACGGCAUCCGGAACUGUCAAGCUAGAGUGCAGGAGAGGAGGGUAGAAUUCCCGGUGUAGCGGUGAAAUGCGUAGAGAUCGGGAGGAAUACCAGUGGCGAAGGCGGCCUUCUGGACUGACACUGACACUGAGGUGCGAAAGCGUGGGUAGCAAACAGGAUUAGAUACCCGUGUAGUC
Molecule: ribosomal RNA, 465 nt
Filed under: Vreelandella stevensii
Lineage: Bacteria; Pseudomonadati; Pseudomonadota; Gammaproteobacteria; Oceanospirillales; Halomonadaceae
Description: partial 16S ribosomal RNA
Rfam family: Bacterial small subunit ribosomal RNA
Source: RNAcentral